Molecule: transfer RNA, 73 nt
Filed under: Adhaeretor mobilis
Lineage: Bacteria; Pseudomonadati; Planctomycetota; Planctomycetia; Pirellulales; Lacipirellulaceae
Description: Planctomycetes bacterium HG15A2 tRNA-Arg
Rfam family: tRNA
About the family: Transfer RNA (tRNA) molecules are approximately 80 nucleotides in length.
Source: RNAcentral
AGCCUGUGAGUGUGGUGGAUUGCACGCGACCCUGCGAAGGUCGAGGGCCAGGUUCAACUCCUGGAUGGGCUAC